GAGUAUGAUUUGGCCUUAAUGAGAACUGCUAAUUCCUCAUUUCCAUGGUUCAACUCCAUGGCCUACUCA
RNAcentral lists this transfer RNA (69 nucleotides) under Allobates caeruleodactylus. RNAcentral describes it as "tRNA-Ser". The record is from RNAcentral. Lineage: Eukaryota; Metazoa; Chordata; Amphibia; Anura; Aromobatidae.